GUCUACGGCCAUACCACCCUGAACGCACCCAAUCUCGUCUGAUCUUGGAAGCUAAGCAGGGUUGGGCUUGGUUAGGACUUGGAUGGGAGACCACCUGGGAAUACCAGGUGCUGUAGGCU
This 119-nucleotide ribosomal RNA is filed under the name Bos indicus (zebu cattle). RNAcentral also lists the same sequence under 1 other name. The record is from RNAcentral. Lineage: Eukaryota; Metazoa; Chordata; Mammalia; Artiodactyla; Bovidae.